UACGAAGGGGGCUAGCGUUGUUCGGAUUUACUGGGCGUAAAGCGCGUGUAGGCGGGUCGUUAAGUUGGGGGUGAAAUCCCGAGGCUCAACCUCGGAACUGCCUUCAAGACUGGCGACCUGGACUCAAGCAGAGGCAAGUGGAAUUGCGAGUGUAGAGGUGAAAUUCGUAGAUAUUCGCAGGAACACCAGUGGCGAAGGCGACUUGCUGGGCUUGUAGUGACGCUGAGACGCGAAAGCGCGGGGAGCCUACAGG
RNAcentral lists this ribosomal RNA (253 nucleotides) under uncultured bacterium. RNAcentral describes it as "partial 16S ribosomal RNA". It matches the Rfam family "Bacterial small subunit ribosomal RNA", at positions 524 to 776 of the family's 1533-position model. The record is from RNAcentral.